Molecule: long non-coding RNA, 873 nt
Organism: Triticum dicoccoides
Lineage: Eukaryota; Viridiplantae; Streptophyta; Magnoliopsida; Poales; Poaceae
Exons: 3
Source: RefSeq, a predicted model, not a curated record
CGAGACACCACCUGCACCCCUCGUUGGACGAGACGUUCCACCCCCGCUUAAGCCGCCACGGAUCCUCCUCGGCUUAUCCCUUCCCUCAGGCCUUCACCCUCCUCAUCCGGCGGCUCCAGGAGGGGCACCACAGCAGCAGGCCAGUCACGCCAUCCAAACGCGCCCGAACCCAACUAGCCUCCAUCGGCCGCGGCGGCCAGGCCGCGCCUCUCCUUCCACCGGUCACGAGAUCCGCCGAUAUCAACUCCGUCCUCCAGCGCUGGGUGCCCAGGAUCAACAUGCCUCCUCCUGAUCAGAAGUCACAAAAAAAGAGAUCACGGUGAUGGUGGUGGCAAUGGGUGCCUACUUCCUCCGAUGAUGUCCCCAUCACCUGGGUUUCAAUAUCAGCUCCAUCCUCUACAAGUAGAAGGGGAGAUGAGAGGAUGAGCACCAGAGGGUCACAGGAUUGGAUGACAGAGUCAAACUGGGAGAAAGCAGAGGCUUGAAAUCUAUUCUUCCUCGAGGAACAGCACCCCUUGCAGGACCUGGACCUUGAGGGGCUCCGCUCACGGCAACCUAUCAGUUUGCCGGCUGCAGCCCGGUUGAACCAGCGUCCAGGGCAUGCUACCGUCAAGAUAGCCUCUGCGCUGCUUUCGUACACCCACUCUAGCCAUGUCUUCCCCUAGACCUGUGAGGAGGAGUAAGCAGGAGGACAAGGAGCAGCACGCCCCUAUCAUCUACUUUUCACUUUACAAAAUUGAAAGUAGAAUACCGUGCAAAGUCAGAUCUACCUUUUGAUGUUUCUGGUUUCCAUCAUUUUAGUGUUGCUUUUAUAGUGUGAAGUUACCAAUCCUUCUCCAUAUAUGUAGUUGUGGAGUUCUACAACCGGAAAUA